UACGAAGGGGGCUAGCGUUGCUCGGAAUUACUGGGCGUAAAGGGCGCGUAGGCGGGUUGCUAAGUUAGAGGUGAAAGCCCAGGGCUCAACCCUGGAAUUGCCUUUAAUACUGGCAGCCUUGAGUAUGGCAGAGGUGUGUGGAACUCCGAGUGUAGAGGUGAAAUUCGUAGAUAUUCGGAAGAACACCAGUGGCGAAGGCGACACACUGGGCCAUUACUGACGCUGAGGCGCGAAAGCGUGGGGAGCAAACAGG
This 253-nucleotide ribosomal RNA is filed under the name uncultured bacterium. RNAcentral describes it as "partial 16S ribosomal RNA". It matches the Rfam family "Bacterial small subunit ribosomal RNA", at positions 524 to 776 of the family's 1533-position model. The record is from RNAcentral.